This 484-nucleotide ribosomal RNA is filed under the name uncultured bacterium. RNAcentral's name for it is "partial 16S ribosomal RNA". It matches the Rfam family "Bacterial small subunit ribosomal RNA", at positions 30 to 507 of the family's 1533-position model. The record is from RNAcentral.
AUUGAACGCUCGCGGGAUGCUUUACGCAUGCAAGUCGAACGGCAGCGCGGACUUCGGUCUGGCGGCGAGUGGCGAACGGGUGAGUAAUGUAUCGGAACGUGCCCAGUAGCGGGGGAUAACUACGCGAAAGCGUAGCUAAUACCGCAUACGCCCUACGGGGGAAAGCAGGGGAUCGUAAGACCUUGCACUAUUGGAGCGGCCGAUAUCGGAUUAGCUAGUUGGUGAGGUAACGGCUCACCAAGGCGACGAUCCGUAGCUGGUUUGAGAGGACGACCAGCCACACUGGGACUGAGACACGGCCCAGACUCCUACGGGAGGCAGCAGUGGGGAAUUUUGGACAAUGGGGGCAACCCUGAUCCAGCCAUCCCGCGUGUGCGAUGAAGGCCUUCGGGUUGUAAAGCACUUUUGGCAGGAAAGAAACGUCGCGGGCUAAUACCCCGUGGAACUGACGGUACCUGCAGAAUAAGCACCGGCUAACUACGUG